Long non-coding RNA from Pieris rapae (cabbage white), 1240 nucleotides. RefSeq lists it as uncharacterized. The transcript is spliced from 3 exons. The record is from RefSeq and is a predicted model, not a curated record. Lineage: Eukaryota; Metazoa; Arthropoda; Insecta; Lepidoptera; Pieridae.
UCACGGCCGUAUUAGCAAUAGAUUUUCACAUCUUCAGCUCCUGUAAAUUUUCAAGACAAAAGGAAAUCUCUUAGGUGCAGAGAGAUGGAGUGCGGUUGCUGGGACAUCAUUUUUCUCCAUGUAACCAGCUGAAGACAUCUGUGUGCGCUGAAGAAAUGUAAAAGUACAUAACAAUAAUGUUUGUAAAAGUAGUAUUCUUAUAUGAGUCUUAAAAAGCCAGCAACGGACUUGCAAGCCUUCUGGCAAUGUGUGUCCAUGGCAGUAACACUUAACAUCAGGUUAGGUUCCUGCCAGUUCGCCUCAGCCCUCAUACUUAAAAAAAUAUAAUGUAUUAGGUUAAUAAAAAUAUAUAUUAUUUACGCUAUUUUUAUAAAUAACAACUAUAUAAGAGAUAUUACCAUUGAAUUAUCAAUCAUAUUUGUAAAUAGGCGUCUUAUGUCGUAAUAAUUAUAAUAUAAUACGAAUUAACAAUAAUUUACUAUACAAAUGUUAGUUACGACGUAAUUACUUUUAUAUUGAAAGAAAUAACGCUGCAAACUUAGGUAAAGAAAAAAUUCAGCAUGUCUCACUCAAUUUUUUUAUAUAAUGACUUCCUACUAUAUUGUAGAGCAUAGAACAUAAUUGUAGUUUUCUUAACAUCCUAGAGUUAUAUCGUGAACAUAGGCACAAGCAUAUCCAACAUGAAGAUAGUUGCAGCUACUCAGCGGCAUCACUAUUAGUGCCCUACAUCUACCCUGUAGAUCCGAAUUUGUUUGAAGUAGGGCGACAAAUUCGGUUCUAGAGAGGUUUGUGUGGUGCAUGCACUGCGUCUUUCAAGACCUUACCCCAAGAAGAAUACGAAGAGAAGACUAAUUACUUCUUUACUAUUAGAUACCUACGUAUAUUGGAAAUUUUAUUAAAAGUUAAUUUCGUUACAGUUUUUAAUCUAUUUAUUUUUAAAUGUAACGUUAAAAUUAAUAGGUUGUUAUUGGUCAAAAUAAAUUAUCAUAUAAUCACAAAACCUAAAAUUUUUCCAAAUUUUAGUUUUUGUUCACGUUCACAGGUGCCACUAUUCGUAAGUUCAGCUUUACUUUCAUUUAUUCACACGCAUCUAGAACCUCUAUUUCCUUGAUAUGUAUACUAAAUUGAAUUUUCAUAUGCCUCUAAUAACAAAAUAAUAUAAAGGCUGUUGUUAUGUAUACCUAGUACAUUUGUUUUGUUUGUUUUAUAAAAAAAAUAUGAUGAUUUACCUAUGUAAUUU